This 1449-nucleotide ribosomal RNA is filed under the name metagenome. RNAcentral describes it as "bacterial SSU rRNA". It matches the Rfam family "Bacterial small subunit ribosomal RNA". The record is from RNAcentral.
AGAGUUUGAUCCUGGCUCAGAGCGAACGCUGGCGGCAGGCUUAACACGUGCAAGUCGAGCGGGCAUAGCAAUAUGUCAGCGGCAGACGGGUGAGUAACGCGUGGGAACAUACCUUUUGGUUCGGAACAACACAGGGAAACUUGUGCUAAUACCGGAUAAGCCCUUACGGGGAAAGAUUUAUCGCCGAAAGAUUGGCCCGCGUCUGAUUAGCUAGUUGGUGAGGUAACGGCUCACCAAGGCGACGAUCAGUAGCUGGUCUGAGAGGAUGAUCAGCCACAUUGGGACUGAGACACGGCCCAAACUCCUACGGGAGGCAGCAGUGGGGAAUAUUGGACAAUGGGCGCAAGCCUGAUCCAGCCAUGCCGCGUGAGUGAUGAAGGCCCUAGGGUUGUAAAGCUCUUUUGUGCGGGAAGAUAAUGACGGUACCGCAAGAAUAAGCCCCGGCUAACUUCGUGCCAGCAGCCGCGGUAAUACGAAGGGGGCUAGCGUUGCUCGGAAUCACUGGGCGUAAAGGGUGCGUAGGCGGGUCUUUAAGUCAGGGGUGAAAUCCUGGAGCUCAACUCCAGAACUGCCUUUGAUACUGAGGAUCUUGAGUUCGGGAGAGGUGAGUGGAACUGCGAGUGUAGAGGUGAAAUUCGUAGAUAUUCGCAAGGACACCAGUGGCGAAGGCGGCUCACUGGCCCGAUACUGACGCUGAGGCACGAAAGCGGGGGGAGCAAACAGGAUUAGAUACCCUGGUAGUCCACGCCGUAAACGAUGAAUGCCAGCCGUUAGUGGGUUUACUCACUAGUGGCGCAGCUAACGCUUUAAGCAUUCCGCCUGGGGAGUACGGUCGCAAGAUUAAAACUCAAAGGAAUUGACGGGGGCCCGCACAAGCGGUGGAGCAUGUGGUUUAAUUCGACGCAACGCGCAGAACCUUACCAGCCCUUGACAUCCCGGUCGCGGAUUCCAGAGACGGAGUCCUUCAGUUCGGCUGGACCGGAGACAGGUGCUGCAUGGCUGACGUCAGCUCGUGUCGUGAGAUGUUGGGUUAAGUCCCGCAACGAGCGCAACCCCCGUCCUUAGUUGCUACCAUUUAGUUGAGCACUCUAAGGAGACUGCCGGUGAUAAGCCGCGAGGAAGGUGGGGAUGACGUCAAGUCCUCAUGGCCCUUACGGGCUGGGCUACACACGUGCUACAAUGGCGGUGACAAUGGGACGCUAAGGGGCAACCCUUCGCAAAUCUCAAAAAGCCGUCUCAGUUCGGAUUGGGCUCUGCAACUCGAGCCCAUGAAGUUGGAAUCGCUAGUAAUCGUGGAUCAGCAUGCCACGGUGAAUACGUUCCCGGGCCUUGUACACACCGCCCGUCACACCAUGGGAGUUGGUUUUACCUGAAGACGGUGCGCUAACCCGCAAGGGAGGCAGCCGGCCACGGUAGGGUCAGCGACUGGGGUGAAGUCGUAACAAGGUA